Molecule: RNase P RNA, 506 nt
Filed under: Candidatus Falkowbacteria bacterium RIFOXYA2_FULL_47_9
Lineage: Bacteria; Candidatus Falkowiibacteriota
Also listed under: 1 other name
Description: RNase P RNA component class A
Rfam family: Bacterial RNase P class A
About the family: Ribonuclease P (RNase P) is a ubiquitous endoribonuclease, found in archaea, bacteria and eukarya as well as chloroplasts and mitochondria. Its best characterised activity is the generation of mature 5'-ends of tRNAs by cleaving the 5'-leader elements of precursor-tRNAs.
Source: RNAcentral
UAGGGCAAGCAGGCAAUUGCCCUUCUCAAAAAAAUGAGAGGGGAGGAAAGUCCGGACACCUGCUCGUAAUGCUAUGCAUACGAGUUAAAAAGGGCAGUGGGUAACGCCCACCCGGAGCAGCCCCAUUAAAUAGUAAUAUUUCACGGGGUGAAUCCGAGGGAAAGUGCCACAGAGACAAUACUAGUCAAUGAGUAUCCGCCCAAGGCGGAUGCUCAAAUUUCCAACUGCGCUACGCGCAGGGAAAUUUGGCAAAAGGUGAAAAGUUGUGCGAUGUGCAUGCUGGUUGUGGGGAUAUCCCAAUGAGUAUGUGCUACGCGCAAUUCUCCCGAGCGAUCGGGAUGAACGGUAAACCCUGCCUGGUGCAAGGGCAAAUUUUUCCGUCAAAAUAACGGAAAAGGAACGUAGCCCGCAUGACCCCGACAGUAAUGCCGGGGCUAGAUAAAUAAUUGCCACCCUCAUCUUUAAAAAUAAGGGCACAGAAUCCGGCUUAUCGCUUGCCCUGAUAU